GGAUGUAAGGGCGAUCUGGCUGUGACAUCUGUCAUCCCAUUGAUCACCAGGGUUAUCUGGCUGGCUAGGUGGGUGUCCCCUUCCUCCCUCACUGCUCCAUGUGCGUCUCUCUGUCAAAGAGGACGGCCUUCCCCUAAUAGAGACAGACUGCUCCCCUGCUAGAACCUCCAAACAAGCUCUCAAGACAGAAUCUUUUAGAUAAGAAGUGCCGUACCCUCAUAAGUGGACAUUUAGAAAU
Molecule: small nuclear RNA, 238 nt
Filed under: Erinaceus europaeus (western European hedgehog)
Lineage: Eukaryota; Metazoa; Chordata; Mammalia; Eulipotyphla; Erinaceidae
Description: 7SK RNA
Rfam family: 7SK RNA
About the family: 7SK was discovered as an abundant small nuclear RNA in the mid-70s but a possible function has only recently been suggested. Two independent studies have found that 7SK RNA binds the CDK9/cyclin T complex (known as elongation factor P-TEFb).
Source: Rfam by way of RNAcentral